AUUGAACGCUGGCGGCAGGCCUAACACAUGCAAGUCGAGCGGAUGAAGGGAGCUUGCUCCUGGAUUCAGCGGCGGACGGGUGAGUAAUGCCUAGGAAUCUGCCUGGUAGUGGGGGAUAACGUCCGGAAACGGGCGCUAAUACCGCAUACGUCCUGAGGGAGAAAGUGGGGGAUCUUCGGACCUCACGCUAUCAGAUGAGCCUAGGUUGGAUUAGCUAGUUGGUGGGGUAAAGGCCUACCAAGGCGACGAUCCGUAACUGGUCUGAGAGGAUGAUCAGUCACACUGGAACUGAGACACGGUCCAGACUCCUACGGGAGGCAGCAGUGGGGAAUAUUGGACCAUGGGCGAAAGCCUGAUCCAGCCAUGCCGCGUGUGUGAAGAAGGUCUUCGGAUUGUAAAGCACUUUAAGUUGGGAGGAAGGGCAGUAAGUUAAUACCUUGCUGUUUUGACGUUACCAACAGAAUAAGCACCGGCUAACUUCGUG
RNAcentral lists this ribosomal RNA (484 nucleotides) under uncultured bacterium. Its description in RNAcentral is "partial 16S ribosomal RNA". It matches the Rfam family "Bacterial small subunit ribosomal RNA", at positions 30 to 507 of the family's 1533-position model. The record is from RNAcentral.